AACGUAGGACACAAGCGUUAUCCGGAGUUACUGGGCGUAAAGGGCGUGUAGGCGGAGGUGUAAGUCUAUUCUGAAAGCUCCUGGCUAAACUGGGAGAGGCGAAUGGAGACUGCAUCUCUAGAGUGAGGAAGAGGAAAGUGGAAUUCCUGGUGUAGCAGUGAAAUGCGUAGAUAUCAGGAGGAAUACCGAUGGCGAAGGCAGGUCUCUGGGCUGACACUGACGCUCAUGCACGAAAGCGUGGGGAGCAAACAGG
This 253-nucleotide ribosomal RNA is filed under the name uncultured bacterium. Its description in RNAcentral is "partial 16S ribosomal RNA". It matches the Rfam family "Bacterial small subunit ribosomal RNA", at positions 524 to 776 of the family's 1533-position model. The record is from RNAcentral.